CCCUUAGAUGUUCUGGGCCGCACGCGUGCUACACUGAGUGGAUCAGCGGGUCAGGUUGCGCGAAAGUGUUUCCUAAUCUUGAAAUUCGCUCGUGAUGGGGAUUGACGGUUGCAAUUUUCUGUCAUGAACGAGGAAUACCUUGUAAGCGCGGGUCAUCAUCCCGCGCUGAAUACGUCCCUGCCCUUUGUACACACCGCCCGUCGCUCCUACCGAUUGAGUGGUCCGGUGAGGCUUUGGGAUCUGGAUGGAAAGAGCGUUUCGCUGUUUCUGCCCGGAAAACUCAGUCGAACCUUAUCAUUUAGAGGAAGGAGAAGUCGUAACA
RNAcentral lists this ribosomal RNA (322 nucleotides) under uncultured eukaryote. Its description in RNAcentral is "partial 18S ribosomal RNA". It matches the Rfam family "Eukaryotic small subunit ribosomal RNA", at positions 1470 to 1796 of the family's 1831-position model. The record is from RNAcentral.